UAAUCUUCAGACCAAAUAAAUUUCUGAUU
Molecule: small RNA, 29 nt
Filed under: Bombyx mori (domestic silkworm)
Lineage: Eukaryota; Metazoa; Arthropoda; Insecta; Lepidoptera; Bombycidae
Description: ovarian small RNA-19709
Source: RNAcentral